CGUGGUCCUUCGGUCGACGAUUCCUACGGGAGGCAGCAGUGGGGAAUCUUAGACAAUGGGGGAAACCCUGAUCUAGCCAUGCCGCGUGAGUGAUGAAGGCCUUAGGGUCGUAAAGCUCUUUCGCCAGGGAUGAUAAUGACAGUACCUGGUAAAGAAACCCCGGCUAACUCCGUGCCAGCAGCCGCGGUAAUACGGAGGGGGUUAGCGUUGUUCGGAAUUACUGGGCGUAAAGCGCGCGUAGGCGGAUUAGUCAGUCAGAGGUGAAAUCCCAGGGCUCAACCCUGGAACUGCCUUUGAUACUGCUAGUCUAGAGUUCGAGAGAGGUGAGUGGAAUUCCGAGUGUAGAGGUGAAAUUCGUAGAUAUUCGGAGGAACACCAGUGGCGAAGGCGGCUCACUGGCUCGAUACUGACGCUGAGGUGCGAAAGUGUGGGGAGCAAACAGGAUUAGAUACCCUGGUAGUCCACACCGUAAACGAUGAAUGCCAGUCGUCGGCAAGUAUACUUGUCGGUGACACACCUAACGGAUUAAGCAUUCCGCCUGGGGAGUACGGUCGCAAGAUUAAAACUCAAAUGAAUUGACGG
Molecule: ribosomal RNA, 582 nt
Filed under: uncultured Paracoccaceae bacterium
Lineage: Bacteria; Pseudomonadati; Pseudomonadota; Alphaproteobacteria; Rhodobacterales; Paracoccaceae
Description: bacterial SSU rRNA
Rfam family: Bacterial small subunit ribosomal RNA
Source: RNAcentral